This 497-nucleotide ribosomal RNA is filed under the name uncultured bacterium. RNAcentral describes it as "partial 16S ribosomal RNA". It matches the Rfam family "Bacterial small subunit ribosomal RNA", at positions 28 to 507 of the family's 1533-position model. The record is from RNAcentral.
GACGAACGCUGGCGGCGUGCCUAAUACAUGCAAGUAGAACGCUGAAGAGAGGAGCUUGCUCUUCUUGGAUGAGUUGCGAACGGGUGAGUAACGCGUAGGUAACCUGCCUGGUAGCGGGGGAUAACUAUUGGAAACGAUAGCUAAUACCGCAUAAAAUUGAUUAUUGCAUGAUAAUUAAUUGAAAGAUGCAACUGCAUCACUACCAGAUGGACCUGCGCUGUAUUAGCUAGUUGGUGAGGUAACGGCUCACCAAGGCGACGAUACAUAGCCGACCUGAGAGGGUGAUCGGCCACACUGGGACUGAGACACGGCCCAGACUCCUACGGGGAGCAGCAGUAGGGAAACUUCGGCAAUGGGGGGAACGCUGAACGAGCAACGCCGCGGGAGUGAAGAAGGGUUUCGGAUCGUAAAGCUCUGUUGUAAGAGAAGAACGGGUGUGAGAGUGGAAAGUUCACACUGUGACGGUAGCUUAACAGAAAGGGACGGCUAACUACGUG